AGAUUGAACGCUGGCGGCAUGCCUAACACAUGCAAGUCGAACGGGAGUAGCAAUACUCUAGUGGCGGACGGGUGAGGAAUACGUAGGAAUUUGCCCUUAAGUGGGGGAUAACCCGGGGAAACCCGGAUUAAUACCGCAUGACCUCGAAAGAGCAAAGUGGGGGAUCGCAAGACCUCACGCUUUUGGAGAAGCCUACGUCGGAUUAGCUAGUUGGUGAGGUAAUGGCUCACCAAGGCGACGAUCCGUAACUGGUCUGAGAGGAUGAUCAGUCACACCGGAACUGAGACACGGUCCGGACUCCUACGGGAGGCAGCAGUGGGGAAUAUUGGACAAUGGGCGCAAGCCUGAUCCAG
RNAcentral lists this ribosomal RNA (353 nucleotides) under uncultured soil bacterium. Its description in RNAcentral is "bacterial SSU rRNA". It matches the Rfam family "Bacterial small subunit ribosomal RNA", at positions 26 to 391 of the family's 1533-position model. The record is from RNAcentral.